AUGAAAACAUAUGUUCCUGCAUUAUUCAUUUUUCUAUGGCUGCAGCUGGAUGGUAUGAGCCAAGGCAAGCAAGUGAAGCAGCUUCCUUCCAUCCUGAGAGUCCAGGAGGGAUCCAGUGCCAUCAUCAACUGCACUUAUGUAGACAGUGCCUCUCUCUACUUCCCUUGGUAUGAGCAAAAGCCCAGAAAGCAUCCUAAGCUCCUCAUUGACAUUCGUUCAAAUAUGGAAAGAAAGCAGACCCAACGACUCAUCUUAUUACUGAAUGAGAAAGCCAAACACUUCUCCCUGCACAUCACAGACACCCAGCCUGGAGACUCAGCCAUGUACUUCUGUGCUGCAAGUGCACACUGCUCCACAGGCACCUGCAGCCCAGGCCCAAACCUGCCUGGAGCCCCAUCUACAUCCUGUGUCACAGGCCUCCCAGGGCAGCGUCACAUUACAUAAUUUUGUAUCUGAAAACUUACUAUUGGAUAGCUAAUUAGGGAGAUUAUCCUCCAAGAUGAAUAAUUUCCCCUCUCUCCCUUAAUUGUUUGUAGUUAUUUGUCUAGAAAAUAGACCACUAUGAGAUUUGAGCAACAAGAUAAGACAUGGCUAUCAAAAGGAUUCAAACAUGAAAAAAAUAAAUGAAGUUAUCAGAUGAUGCUUAUUAUACAUAAGAGAUCUCCAAGACUCUACCAGAAAACUUCUAGAAAUUUUCAAUGAGUUCAGCAACAUGGUAGGGUACAAAAUCUACUUACGCUUCCUGGUUGCUGCCCCCGCCGAGAGCUCGUAGGCAGCAUCCCACGAGCAAACUUGAGCCUCAGGACCACAGGUAAGACAAAUCUUCCUGCUCCAAGCGACCUGCCUGGUGAACUCAGGACACACAGAGGCAAAAUUCCUCUAGGACUGGACACUUCCAGUUUUUAGCGGGAUUC
Rattus norvegicus (Norway rat) is the source of this 914-nucleotide non-coding RNA. The record is from the annotation of a RefSeq genome assembly. Lineage: Eukaryota; Metazoa; Chordata; Mammalia; Rodentia; Muridae.